This 497-nucleotide ribosomal RNA is filed under the name uncultured bacterium. RNAcentral describes it as "partial 16S ribosomal RNA". It matches the Rfam family "Bacterial small subunit ribosomal RNA", at positions 28 to 507 of the family's 1533-position model. The record is from RNAcentral.
GAUGAACGCUGGCGGCGUGCCUAAUACAUGCAAGUCGAGCGAACAGACGAGGAGCUUGCUCCUCUGACGUUAGCGGCGGACGGGUGAGUAACACGUGGAUAACCUACCUAUAAGACUGGGAUAACUUCGGGAAACCGGAGCUAAUACCGGAUAAUAUAUUGAACCGCAUGGUUCAAUAGUGAAAGACGGUUUUGCUGUCACUUAUAGAUGGAUCCGCGCCGCAUUAGCUAGUUGGUAAGGUAACGGCUUACCAAGGCGACGAUGCGUAGCCGACCUGAGAGGGGGAUCGGCCACACUGGAACUGAGACACGGUCCAGACUCCUACGGGAGGCAGCAGUAGGGAAUCUUCCGCAAUGGGCGAAAGCUUGACGGAGCAACGCCGCGUGAGUGAUGAAGGUCUUCGGAUCGUAAAACUCUGUUAUUAGGGAAGAACAAAUGUGUAAGUAACGAUGCACGUCUUGACGGUACCUAAUCAGAAAGCCACGGCUAACUACGUG